CCUACGGGGGGCAGCAGUGGGGAAUAUUGGACAAUGGGGGGAACCCUGAUCCAGCCAUGCCGCGUGUGUGAAGAAGGCCCUCGGGUUGUAAAGCACUUUCAGUGAGGAAGAACGCCUGGUGGUUAAUACCCAUCAGGAAAGACAUCACUCACAGAAGAAGCACCGGCUAACUCCGUGCCAACAGCCGCGGUAAUACGGAGGGUGCGAGCGUUAAUCGGAAUUACUGGGCGUAAAGCGCGCGUAGGUGGCUUGAUAAGCCGGUUGUGAAAGCCCCGGGCUCAACCUGGGAACGGCAUCCGGAACUGGCAAGCUAGAGUGCAGGAGAGGAAGGUAGAAUUCCCGGUGUAGCGGUGAAAUGCGUAGAGAUCGGGAGGAAUACCAGUGGCGAAGGCGGCCUUCUGGACUGACACUGACACUGAGGUGCGAAAGCGUGGGUAGCAAACAGGAUUAGAUACCCGUGUAGUC
Molecule: ribosomal RNA, 465 nt
Filed under: Vreelandella stevensii
Lineage: Bacteria; Pseudomonadati; Pseudomonadota; Gammaproteobacteria; Oceanospirillales; Halomonadaceae
Description: partial 16S ribosomal RNA
Rfam family: Bacterial small subunit ribosomal RNA
Source: RNAcentral